AUCUAGCCCCGAUAGAAGCGGUAUCCUUUUUUGCUUUUUCUGCAAAAAAGAUACAAGUGUCCCGAAGCUUCGGGAGCGGGA
This 81-nucleotide unclassified non-coding RNA is filed under the name Flavobacterium pectinovorum. Its description in RNAcentral is "Flavo-1 RNA". The record is from RNAcentral. Lineage: Bacteria; Pseudomonadati; Bacteroidota; Flavobacteriia; Flavobacteriales; Flavobacteriaceae.